GGUUGUAUAGUGUAGCGGUUAUCACUCCGGAUUCUGAUUCCGGCAACCCCGGUUCGAGUCCGGGUACGACCU
Podospora anserina is the source of this 72-nucleotide transfer RNA. It matches the Rfam family "tRNA". From Rfam's summary of the family: Transfer RNA (tRNA) molecules are approximately 80 nucleotides in length. Their secondary structure includes four short double-helical elements and three loops (D, anti-codon, and T loops). Lineage: Eukaryota; Fungi; Ascomycota; Sordariomycetes; Sordariales; Podosporaceae. The record is from Rfam.